GGAAGGAGUUACUGUGACAGCUCCGUGCUGGCGAGCCGAUCCACGUCCACCUCACUCCAGCGAAAACAUAACAUCGAUUCAAAAGGACAUGACAGGACAAGAUGAAGACACCGAACGCUCUGUGGGGUCCAUAGAAGGGUCAUGGGAAGCCCGGCCGGGGCACGUCGUCAACGACACGGAAGUGGUCUUGAAGCCCUCAAUUUCUGCGAAAUUUCAGCGGGCGGUUUGGUGCGUUCCUUACUUAUAUCAACUCAUCUGGAUGUCGGCCCUGGUUUGUCUGAUGGCUCCGUUUUUCCCGUCGCUUGCCACUUCAAGAGGCGUCAAAAUCUGGGAGUACGGCAUGGUGUUGUCGGCCUUCAAGCUAGCCAUUCUACCGGGAAGUUUGCUUGGUGAAAAAUUUAUUACAGGAACGUCACCCAGAGCGGCGUAUGUGACUUCUGUGACAAGCAUGAGCGUGUUCUGCCUCUUAUUUGGGGCUUGCUCGAAGCGGCGUCAGGAUUAGGAAACAUUUGCGGUCAGCUCGCUGGCGGUGUCGUCACUGAUUUGUGGAAAUUACCAACGUCCUACUACGCGUGCGGUAUAGGUCUCCUCUUAGCACUGCCAUUUAUAACGGAACCGCAUGAAGUCACUGAACGGAACAAUGUCGAAUCCCCUGCCUCAUCUAUUGACAGCAGCGACCAAGGGCGUCACGAAGUUCAAUUCAACGAAUGAAAACGUAGGAGCCGUAUUUACCUGUAAUUCAGGUGGGUAUUCUCUAGCGUCCUUGCUUGCAGGAUUCUUGGCAUCACACGAGGUAAGCCCACUUCUAAUUUUAAGCAAUUACUUUUUUCUUAAUAAUUAUGUCCACACUGCUAGUGCUUCGUUGCCAUUAAACAUAUUUAAGAAAAAGUAAAAAUAAAUAUAUCUCAUAAAAAGAAGACGUCGUUCAUUGUCCAGGUAGUUUUACUGCCUAAAUAUUC
Molecule: unclassified non-coding RNA, 959 nt
Filed under: Ixodes scapularis (black-legged tick)
Lineage: Eukaryota; Metazoa; Arthropoda; Arachnida; Ixodida; Ixodidae
Description: uncharacterized LOC121832923, transcript variant X6
Source: RNAcentral